GAUGAACGCUGGCGGCGUGCCUAAUACAUGCAAGUCGAGCGAACGGACGAGAAGCUUGCUUUUCUGAUGUUAGCGGCGGACGGGUGAGUAACACGUGGAUAACCUACCUAUAAGACUGGGAUAACUUCGGGAAACCGGAGCUAAUACCGGAUAAUAUUUUGAACCGCAUGGUUAAAAAGUGAAAGAGGGUCUUGCUGUCACUUAUAGAUGGAUCCGCGCUGCAUUAGCUAGUUGGUAAGGUAACGGCUUACCAAGGCAACGAUGCAUAGCCGACCUGAGAGGGUGAUCGGCCACACUGGAACUGAGACACGGUCCAGACUCCUACGGGAGGCAGCAGUAGGGAAUCUUCCGCAAUGGGCGAAAGCCUGACGGAGCAACGCCGCGUGAGUGAUGAAGGUCUUCGGAUCGUAAAACUCUGUUAUUAGGGAAGAACAUAUGUGUAAGUAACUGUGCACAUCUUGACGGUACCUAAUCAGAAAGCCACGGCUAACUACGUG
This 497-nucleotide ribosomal RNA is filed under the name uncultured bacterium. RNAcentral's name for it is "partial 16S ribosomal RNA". It matches the Rfam family "Bacterial small subunit ribosomal RNA", at positions 28 to 507 of the family's 1533-position model. The record is from RNAcentral.